CCUACGGGUGACAGCAGUGAGGAAUAUUGGUCAAUGGACGCAAGUCUGAACCAGCCAUGCCGCGUGCAGGAAGAAGGUGCUAUGCAUUGUAAACUGCUUUUAUACGGGGGCAAUGACAGAUACGUGUAUCUGGAUGAAAGUACCGUAUGAAUAAGGAUCGGCUAACUCCGUGCCAGCAGCCGCGGUAAUACGGAGGAUCCGAGCGUUAUCCGGAUUUAUUGGGUUUAAAGGGUGCGUAGGCGGUCAGGUAAGGUAGGGGUGAAAGCUCGAUGCUCAACAUCGAAACCGCCUUUGAUACUGUCUGACUAGAGUGGAGGUGCAGUAUGCGGAAUGUGUGGUGUAGCGGUGAAAUGCUUAGAUAUCACACAGAACCCCGAUUGCGAAGGCAGCAUUCC
Molecule: ribosomal RNA, 395 nt
Filed under: uncultured bacterium
Lineage: Bacteria
Description: partial 16S ribosomal RNA
Rfam family: Bacterial small subunit ribosomal RNA
Source: RNAcentral